GCUUGACUGUAGCUUGUAAUUGGGUUCGGGCUUUUUUUGCGCAGCCUAGGUGGGAGGCAACGAUGAUUUUUUUCCGGAAAAAUUUGAGCCGUUAGUGAGAGACCACUCUGAAAAGGCUAGAAUCCUAAUAAUGAUCCUUGAAUCAGGACAUUUGACAGUUGCAGGUGGGCAGUUUUACUGGGGCGGUAUUCUCCUAAAAAGUAACGGAGGGGUGCAAAGGUUCCCUCAAGGCUGGACGGAAAUCAGCUUAAGAGUGUAAAGGCAAAAGGGAGCUUGACUGCAAGACCUACAAGUCGAGCAGGGGCGAAAGCCGGCCUUAGUGAUGCG
Molecule: ribosomal RNA, 327 nt
Filed under: uncultured alga
Lineage: Eukaryota
Description: partial 23S ribosomal RNA
Rfam family: Bacterial large subunit ribosomal RNA
Source: RNAcentral